AUUUAAAUACAUCUUAUGUUGAGGUUCAAC
Clostridium autoethanogenum DSM 10061 is the source of this 30-nucleotide non-coding RNA. The record is from Rfam. NCBI's taxonomy places the organism in Bacteria, Bacillati, Bacillota, Clostridia, Eubacteriales, Clostridiaceae.